GAAAUGCGAUAAGUAGUGUGAAUUGCAGAAUUCAGUGAAUCAUCGAAUCUUUGAACGCACAUUGCGCCCCUUGGUAUUCCAUGGGGCAUGCCUGUUCGAGCGUCAUCUACACCCUCAAGCUCUGCUUGGUGUUGGGCGUCUUUGUCCCGCCUCCGCGCGCGGACUCGCCCCAAAUUCAUUGGCAGCGGUCCUUGCCUCCUCUCGCGCAACACAUUGCGCUUCUCGAGGUGUUGCGGCCCGCGUCCAGAAAGCAAUCGUUACCGUCUUUGACCUCGGAUCAGGUAGGGAUACCCGCUGAACUUAAGC
RNAcentral lists this unclassified non-coding RNA (306 nucleotides) under plant metagenome. RNAcentral describes it as "partial contains 5.8S ribosomal RNA, internal transcribed spacer 2, and large subunit ribosomal RNA". The stretch from base 1 to 105 matches the Rfam family "5.8S ribosomal RNA", at positions 50 to 154 of the family's 154-position model. The record is from RNAcentral.